AUAUCAAUAAGCGGAGGAAAAGAAACUAACCAGGAUUCCCCUAGUAACGGCGAGCGAAGCGGGAAUAGCUCAAAUUUUAAAUCGGACUUUUUGUUCGAGUUGUAAUUUGAAGAGACGUUUUCACGUCAUUUACCAGGUCUAAGUGCUUUGGAAUAAGCCAUCAGAGAGGGUGAGAAUCCCGUCUUUGAUCUGGUUAUUGGCGGUACGAUACGUCCUCUAAGAGUCGAGUUGUUUGGGAUUGCAGCUCAAAAUGGGUGGUAAAUUCCAUCUAAGGCUAAAUAUAGGCGAGAGACCGAUAGCGCACAAGUA
Molecule: ribosomal RNA, 309 nt
Filed under: uncultured Ambispora
Lineage: Eukaryota; Fungi; Glomeromycota; Glomeromycetes; Archaeosporales; Ambisporaceae
Description: partial large subunit ribosomal RNA
Rfam family: Eukaryotic large subunit ribosomal RNA
Source: RNAcentral